GUUCCAAAAGUGCUGGGUUCUGGACAUGUAGAUUUGUUUAAUUGCAGUAUGUUUGAUAUGAGAUUCUAGCCUGCCUAUGUGGAAUGAAAGUUUGGUUCUGUUUCUGAUGUUGUCUGAACUUGAUUCAUUUCGGGUCAGGUAGGAGGAGCUGAAUGUUGAUUAGAGAGAAUAUGUGAUUCUAAUUUACUAGUAACCCAUGUGACAUAGCGAUCUUAGAGUGGUGUGACAUCUUGGUGAAGUCCAAGAAAGUCCCCUGGUGUAGCUACCAACUAUUCCUGGGUGUUAAAGGCAGCUCGGGACAACAGACUAGCCCAACUCUCUGAAAAAGCUGAGGUCAGCACAGAUCUGGGGCAUGGGCUGGAGUCAGCAAGACAGCAUGCAGAUGUCAUGCUAGACCUGUGAGCUCACAGGUGUGACUCCCACCUGGGUCUGGAAGGAUAGUGUGUGAAUAGGCAUCAUUAGGUUGAAGUCUGGGCUGGAUUCAGAAAGGGUGAAAAUGGAUGCUUGUCCUAGCUAGGCCGGGGCCUGGAUGUGGCCAGUGUGGACUCCUUGAGCUAGCUAACUCACCAAGAGAUCUUGCAGAUACUGCAGCGCUCACCUGGACUGAGAGGAACCUCGUGGAUGGGCAAUGUGAGCCUAAGUUUUGAAGGAUGUGUGUUCAGAGUGAAUUAUAUGCACAGUCAGUGACUCAAACCUCCUGAAAGAAGUUCAAGCCUUAUCUAAGUGUCUCCACACAUGCCAUGUAAGUCAUUGUUUUAUUUGCUUUCUUGGACUCCAUCUUUUUAAAUCUGUCUUUUCAUAUGAAUUUUCAAUUUGUGGAGAGUGAAGAUGAGGUCAGGAAAAGGUACCAGAAGCAGAUGAAGCAUCCCUCUGGUAUUUUGAGGGAAAACACUUUCUCCAGAUGUUGUCCCCACUUACAUUAUUAAGAAUCCCACUAUGUGGGCUUAUUUUCUGUGUUAAGGUAUUCCUUGUUUUCCCAAACUCUGUGGCCUGAGGUUUCCCUUCUAACUAAUUUUCAUUUUCACUUACAACUGUAAGAAUGCAACCUCUUCUAUCAAUAUACUAUAGGAUGAGGACCAUGCUGGUGAUGAUGGUAUCAUCAAGAUGAGGACCAUACUGGUGAUGAUGGUAUCAUCAAGAUGAGGGUCAUGCUGGUGAUGAUGGUAUCAUCAAGAUGAGGACCAUGCUGGUGAUGAUGGUAUCAUCAAGAUGAGGACCAUGCUGGUGAUGAUGGUAUCAUCAAGAUGAGGACCAUGCUGGUGAUGAUGGUACCCAUCAGGAUGGGGACCAUGCUGGUGAUGAUGGUAUCAAGAUGAGGACCAUGGUGGUGAUGAUGGUAUCAAGAUGAGGACAUGAUACAGAGAUAAUUUUGUCUUGCAGAGGACACAGAAAGCACAGAGAAUCUGGCAACAUUGGCUCCCUUUUAAAUGAAACUCUGGAACCUCAUGCUUUUCCAUGGGAAUGACAGAACAGCUCAUCUGCCUGGGAACCACUUUUACUUCUUCAGCACCUACCAGCUUCUGAGGCCCUGUGUGGAGCAUGAUAGUCAAUUUUUUUUUUUUUUUUUUUUUUUUUGCACAAUAGUCCUCCCGUUUUACAGGGGAGUAAACCCCUGGUCUUCUCCAAAGCCACAUGGCUAGUACUGAUGGAUUUAGAAGUUGAGUUCAGGAAUGCUGUCUCCAGAACCCCAUGCCUCCCUCUGUGACCUCUCCUGAACCUAGACGUGAGGGAUGGAAAAUGGUACCAACUGAGAGAAAUGUGAAAAACUGACUGAGGAGAUACCAAGGCAUGCUGAAGGAUAGAUGCCACCAGACUGUUGGGAUCUUUUUGUGCUUACCCAAUCCCUAGCAUGAGUUUAUCUGCUUCUUUUAUUGGAGCAUAGCCCAUUUCUCUCUCUCUCUCUCUCUCUCUCUCUCUCUCUCUCUCUCUCCUCUCACACACACACACACACACACACACACCAACUCAUCUUCUUUCAAUGAAGGACACACAAAUUCAGCAGUGCUCAAUAGUUUUGAAGUCUAGGUCUCUGCGUCACCUCAGAGCCUCCUCCAGCUCUGUUCUAAGACAGCCAGCAUGCCUGUCACUCUCUCACAUUCUUUUUCUCAUGGCUUAGAAAUCCCUUCCUCCCCUUCUCAUGGCCACGCCUACCCUAGGACAGUAGAUAUCACCUGAUGAGGGAGCCAUGCCUUGGUUUGCAGAGGAUUACCUUGUCUGUGUUCCACAGGAAGAUCUUUCUAGCCUCUGCUGCAGCAAGCCUCAGUGCUUGCUAAAGAGGUAUAGCUCUGCACUUCAGUUCUGGGGGAGGAAUUUAGUAAAUGUUUAUUUAAGUGGACAACUAAAUGGGUGGAUGGCUAUAUGGAGGACUAUUUUUGUGCCAGUUUCCCCUAAGGACUAAGAAAGAGCCUUACAAUUCUCCAGAACCACAGGAAAUUUCCCCUAUGUGCACCUUCCCUGACUUACCAUUCUCUAUCUUUUGCUAUUGUUGCUGUUUAUUUUAAACAUUGCAUAAUGGGAAGUUGGCAAACCCUUAAUUUCUGCUACUUUUCUUUAUUUUACCCAACGGAACACACAUUUUCGAGUCCACUGUUCUGUUAUUCUUUUCCGUACUCAGCACACAUAUCACUCAUAAAAAGGUGACUUACUGCCAUGUUUCCAGCAUAACACAUAAGAGCUCUGUAAAAACCCAGUAAAGAAAAUGAACUGAGGCUUGGAGAAGGAUCCCUCUCUCUGCCUCGGCGUCAUGCUGUCAACUCCUAUCAUGUAAUUCUACUUAGUACUUCUGGGCCAUUUCCUUCAAAGCUCCGUCCAAGCAUUACCUAAGUGAUGCUUAGGUAGGGCGGGUGAGACGCCAGGAACUCCAGCCAUAAAUGUAGAACUGUGAAAUGCAGUCCCGAGGAAAUUAGAUUUUAGAGUUGGAAAAGCAAUGAAAUCCUGACAGUAACAGGCUGUCUCACUUCAGAUAGCCACAUGGUCACCUCUCCUCCCAUCCCCUUUAGGACAACGGGGCAUUAUAUUAAGAGCAAAGGAGAGGGAGAGGCGGUUUCCAGAAAUUAUGGAAAACCAUAUAUAUCCCUUAGUGGGCAGCCAGUGAAAGGGUAGCUUUUUGGUCUUCUCCCCCCCACCCCCCAGCAGUUUGAUGGGAAAAUAACUGUUCUUACUUCCUGAUCUGGAAAGGCCAGCCAUGGUUCAAGAGAUGCCAAGCGCCUGCUGUGGGUCAGGCAUUUCACAUGCAGCAUGCCUCAUAACACCUAGCAUAAGGCCAUGGCAUGUCACAUGUGAGGUGAAGUGUCAUACGUGAGCUGUUUCAUCAGCCCGGUCCCUAACAGCUGCACUACAGGAGUCACUCACACAAGAGCACAUUAUAGGAGCUAACACAUGCUAGCAAACAAGGCCAGAGGCUGAGUGAGAACUGCUUGCAGAACAUGUUUCCCAGAACUCUGAAGUUCGAGUCAGCAGUGUGAGCACUGGAUCGUGGUCUCGGGGCUUUCUGGCAUUGACUUAGAAACUCUGGAACCAUACAUUCUUCAAAAGCAAUAAGAUGUAGUUGUUUUAAUAGUUUUAAAACACUGAUAGGAAAAAAAGGGGGUUCUUUAUAAGCCAGCAGCUAUUUUCACAUAGGCUCUGCUCCUUCCUUCCUAGUCUACUAUGUGCACAAGGGUGGGAGCUAUUCUACUCUUCUGGGGCACUGUGUUCUGCCAAGGUCAUGGCUGUAUCUGCUCCUUUGGGCCACUACUUGGUGCCUGGGGGCCACUCACUGUGCUCUCUCCAUUCAUUUUAUUCCAGGUCUUUCAACUUUCUCCCUUCCUCGCUUUCUCCCUUUCUCCUUUCUAUCUCCCUCCCUCUCCUUCCCCCUUAUCCUCCUGGACUCCCUUCUCUCUUCUCUCUCUCCCCUCAUCUCCUCCCCACUUCUAUCUGGUGAUGCCAUGUUACUCAGCUUUGCCUCAAACUUGCAAUCCUCCUGCCUCAGACUCUGAGUACCUGAUGUUGCAGGUGUCCAGCUACCAGCUCCCCAUUUCCUCACUAUUUCUUGGAUGGAUUUUUUUUUUUAUCUGAAAGAACUGUAAGUUUCUUGUUUAAUCUCAAUGAUGACAUAAAAGUCAAAUAUUCUAGUUAUCUUGGGACUGAACUGGAUGUGUUCGCCUGGGUGGUUAGGAUUAUGCUUGAGACAGAUGGUAAAAAGAAAAUUAGGUGACUUGUGUGAAUGAUGUGACUGCUAGGAUCACAGACACUGGCCAGAUAAAGGAAUGCUGUCGCACAUGUGCCACUGUAGCCUUCCAAGUAGAGCCAUACAGAGUCCAAAGAGCCUGCACCAAGGGUCAGGGCCACUGAGGGAAACCAGUGAAUUCAUUUCAGCUCAGCCAUUUCAUCUUUACACAGUUAAGUUGGCUUUUAUGAGGUUUACAUUUUUUUCAAACACACACACAAUGCAUAUUAUUUCUUUAUUUUAAUUAUGGUUUUUCUGCUUUUGAGAUUGCAACAUGAAUGCAUCAUUUACCUCUUCCCUUCCCUCCCUCCAAUUCCUCCCAUGCACUCCUACCUUGCUCUCUUGCGAAUUUAUGGCUUCUUUAACUUUAAUUGUUGUUGUUAUUGUGUAUGCACGUAACACAACAUGCACAACCUGCUUAGUCCUUGUUGAGUGGACCUUAAAUCCAACUAGAGAGCUGUUGGGUCCUGCCAAAGUAUGCAUCCCGUGACUGCUUCCUUAGGAAUAUCAGGCCAUGCUGGUGUCACUGUGGUUCAGAGACAUCAUAGCUUAGAAGACCUGCUGGUUACUUCCCUUCUUUGGAAGCUUGCAUGACACCUUCUGGCACCAUGAAAAUUGGUCCUCACGGAGGAGGCCUCAUAUGAGAUCCAGGCCAGGUCCUCUGGGUCAUACAUCUGUCUAAAGUGUAUGGAGUUUUCAGCAAUAAGAACUUACCUUUCACCUUUGAGGGCAACCUAGGGCAGCAGCAAUGGCCUACCAUGUUUUGGGAGUCUCUUGGACAACCCUGACCGACAAACAAAAGAGGGCUCCUCAUGUCUAGUGUUGGGGUUUUUGUUAGAUACUCUAUGCCUCUUGGGGGAGCAUUGUUAAAUUUCAUUUAAACUAUACAUGCAUACAGAGGUUUUCAUGCAUUAUAGGUAUUUUAGAUGGAUAGUCAUCAGUAUGUGAUUCUUUAUGAAUUUUUCAGAUACUCAUUGUUAUUUAACCCCCUCCUCUUUCUGUACUUAUUACCCUCCCACUCUCUAUUUAAAGUACCCUGUUUUCCCCAUUUCUCCCUUCAGAUAACUGCUAUACCCCACUCUAUUGCUCCCUACCCAUGCAGCCAGCCAAUAGUCGGUUUCUAGUUUCCUGCUAUCUAUAGUCAUUUCAGGGUAUGUACUCACAUCUGAAAAUUUAGAGCUAUGAGCCUCUGGUAAGAGAGAACAUGUAACAUUUGUCUUUCUGGGUUACUUCACUCAAGAUGAUCUUUUCUAGUUCCAUCAUGUAGCUGCAAUUUUUAUGAUUUCCCUUUUCUUUACAGUUGAACUGUAUUUCACAGUAUAUAUUUGUAGCACAAUAAAUAAAAGACCCAGAGACUGAUAUUGGGGUUCAAGCUUCAAGCUGAAGAUCAGAGAAGCAAAGCAGCCAAGCCACUAGCUCUUACCUCUACCAAUGCUCAGACCAAAGGGGCCAUCUUCAGACUGCUCCUGACUUCACUGCUCCUCAGAUUCACUCAGGUUGCUAUGCUCCUCAGUGUGGUUAUAGACUAUAUGCCUUCCUAUCCUAAUUGUGGCUGGAGAAUGAAUGCCAGCUCUGAAACCCUGUUCCUGUCUUAAAUACUUCUCAUGGGGCCUGGGAUUCAAGGCAUGAGCUCUGUUAUUCUUUUAGACUGAUUCAAUCUCUUGUAGCCCUG
This is a non-coding RNA of Cricetulus griseus (Chinese hamster), 5879 nucleotides long. Lineage: Eukaryota; Metazoa; Chordata; Mammalia; Rodentia; Cricetidae. The record is from RefSeq and is a predicted model, not a curated record.